UUUACUGUAUUUUUGAAAAUUGCUGUAUGCUACUGUAUAUUUUCUAACAGUCUUUUGGCGGUAUUUUCCUUAUUCACACAAAUCCUUAUUUUAUUUUUCUCAAAAUCAUCAUUUUUGACAAUUGUAUACACACAGGCGUUGACUUAUUUUAGCUAAGGAACCAUGUAGCAGCACAGGUGUUCAGAGGACCGAUUUCAGGUGUGCACAUAAACUGAAGAGUUUUCAAACAAGACUUUAUGGACUUUCCCUGGGACAGCGGCGCUUUUCAGUUGAAGAUACACGAGAGGAGAGAAUGAAAAAAGACCAGCAAGGUAAAAUAGUUUAUAUAAGUUAUUUAUUAUCAGACCCGCGGUUGUUGUUUACCCGAACGGGACAUUUUAAAACCGUUAAACGGACGCGUUGCUUAACGUAUAACGGUAAUAUUAGUUUACCAAAGUCAGUAUAAACCUAAUAAAUAAAUCAUACUAACGUUCUGUGUAUGCACGCCUACGAGCACGCGCGGUGCGUUAAAUUACACGCUAGUGUUUUCCUUUUAUAAAACUAUUAUGAAGAAAUGCUUAACAUAGCCUAAUGUAUACGUCAAUGAUAUGAAAAGAUCAGAUUUAGUAUAUAACGUUACCUGAGAGAAUAAUUUAUUAAUAAAAAGCAUAUUUAACAAAGUACCCUAAAUUACAUGAAGCUGGGAGGAAAACUCUUAUUUGCAAGUUACCACGUUGUGUUUAUAUUCUCAUCCGCUUGGCUUUACCUGUUAAUUAAUUAUGCGUUAUUAAUAAGGUGUAUAACUAAAUUUUAUCUUUCAAAUUCGUUAAACUACGUUAAGCAUUUUAGAAAGUCCAUGUGAACAUAAUAAGAGUUUGCUUAACAUUUAGUUUUACAAACGACUUCAACGUAUGAGCGUAUGUUAUGUUAUGUGUUUGUGGUGGCCAAUCGGAAAAACAUUUUAUUUUAAAUGUGAAUAUGUUUAAACAUAAAGGCUGAAACCUAAUUAGCAUAAAAUAAAGUUUUAAAUGUGUUUUUCUUUUGUAUUACAUUGCUUUUGAGGCCAAGGUAGCUGUACAGUAAAUAUUCAGCCUCGAUCAGAAAACCACGUCCCACUGUCAUAACACACAGACCUGUGGCCAUGUGCAGUGAUUCGAGUAGUGUACAUCUACUCUGGUUAUCAUUUCAAAACAGUAUUUACUGAAAAAUAUGAGUGUUUAGCAUCAUGUAUUAAAUGUGUUAAAUAUGUCCUUUUUUCCCUGCAUUUAUUCUGCUGUCUAAAAUUCUUUGGGAGGAUAAACGAAGGAGGAUGUAACAAAAUACACUGAAAGAACUGGAAUGAGAGACAAGUGAGGAUGAAGAGGACAACAGAAUAUCCAUCCUUUCUUCACCACCUCACAGAGUUUGAGUGAAACAACUUGUAUUAGGACUCACAGGAUUAUUUUAUAACAAGACUGAUUAUUUUAUACCAGAAGUAUGGUAUUUUUUUGAAGCUACUGUAUUAUUUCUUAUGACAAUUCAUUUUGAUGUGCAUUCAGAACUGUAAGUUGUGGUAGUGGAUCAUGAUCACCUCUCUAGCUUCAAAAGUAGGAUGCAAAAUGUAUAACACCAAAUCAUUAAAGCAUAACUCCAUGUAACUUGACAUAAUUUAAAGUCGUAUAAAGGCAGACAUGAUUGGGUGUGUGAAGUCCUAUGCCAAAGACUCUCCAAAUACUGCAUCUACACAUUCUUCCUGAUGUGUAUAUUUUGUUGGUAUAUCCUGGUUGUUGCAGACCUGACAGUAAAUUUGACUGUGAGCAUCCUAUCCAUCAGGUAUGGCUGUUUACUUGCAUUACUCAUUUAGAGAAAUGAUGGGUCAAAAUUGAUUUAUAUGGAUUAUAUUUUCAUCACCCCUUUUUGUAUGUCUUUGGGACACUUGAAAUAUAUAGCACGUAUAAUGUGGAGCCAUUUUAUAAUGCGGUCACAGACUACUCCCAUUGUAACUGGAAAACCAAAGAAAAUCAUUGUUUAAAUUAUAAAAUUAUCAUUUUUGGAUUAACUAAACCUGUAAUCAGUGUUAAACGUAUGUAUGUUUAUAAUUUGUGUUAUUUUAAAUGUAUUACUGCAAUGUAUUACUAAAUGUAUUUGAAAUGUGUAUGGUUUAAAUGUAAAUUUCACAAAACUUCUUAAAGUAUUUGUAUUGUUUUAA
Paramisgurnus dabryanus is the source of this 2167-nucleotide non-coding RNA. The record is from RefSeq and is a predicted model, not a curated record. Lineage: Eukaryota; Metazoa; Chordata; Actinopteri; Cypriniformes; Cobitidae.